CGGGGUGUAGCGCAGCCCGGUAGCGUACUUCGUUCGGGACGAAGGAGUCGGAGGUUCAAAUCCUCUCACCCCGA
This 74-nucleotide transfer RNA is filed under the name Elusimicrobia bacterium RIFOXYB2_FULL_49_7. Its description in RNAcentral is "tRNA-Pro". It matches the Rfam family "tRNA". From Rfam's summary of the family: Transfer RNA (tRNA) molecules are approximately 80 nucleotides in length. Their secondary structure includes four short double-helical elements and three loops (D, anti-codon, and T loops). The record is from RNAcentral. Lineage: Bacteria; Pseudomonadati; Elusimicrobiota.